This 1078-nucleotide ribosomal RNA is filed under the name uncultured archaeon. Its description in RNAcentral is "bacterial SSU rRNA". It matches the Rfam family "Archaeal small subunit ribosomal RNA", at positions 25 to 1080 of the family's 1478-position model. The record is from RNAcentral.
GACUGCUAUUGGGGUAAGGCUAAGCCAUGGGAGCCGAACGCCCUAUCACUAUAGGGCGUGACGCACGGCUGGGUAACACGUAGCUAACCUACCCUCGGGACUGGGAUAACUCCGGGAAACUGGAGCUAAACCCGGAUAGGUGAGGAGUCCUGGAAUGGUUCCUCACUUAAAGAGAUCUUAGGGGGUACUGCCUAAGAUCUGCCCGAGGAUGGGGCUACGGCCCAUCAUGGUAGUUGGCGGGGUAAUGGCCCGCCAAGCCUACGACGGGUAGGGGCCCUGGGAGGGGGAGCCCCCAGAUGGACCCUGAGACAAGGGUCCAGGCCCUACGGGGCGCACCAGGCGCGAAACCUCUGCAAUGCGGGAAACCGUGACAGGGUUACCCCAAGUGCUCCCGUUAAGGGAGCUUUUCCUCGCUGUAAGGGGGCGAGGGAAUAAGCGGGGGGCAAGACUGGUGUCAGCCGCCGCGGUAAUACCAGCCCCGCGAGUGGUCAGGACGAUUACUGGGCCUAAAGCGCCCGUAGCCGGUCUAGCAAGUCCUCUCUGAAAGCUCCGGGCCUAACCCGGAGAGCGGAGAGGAUACUGCUAGGCUAGGGGGCGGGAAAGGCCGGGGGUACUCCUAGGGUAGGGGCGAAAUCCGAUAAUCCUAGGAGGACCACCAGUGGCGAAGGCGCCCGGCUGGAACGCGCCCGACGGUGAGGGGCGAAAGCUGGGGGAGCGAACCGGAUUAGAUACCCGGGUAGUCCCAGCUGUAAACGAUGCAGGCUAGGUGUUAGAUGGGCGUUAGUGCCCAUCUAGUGCCGCAGGGAAGCCGUUAAGCCUGCCGCCUGGGGAGUACGGCCACAAGGCUGAAACUUAAAGGAAUUGGCGGGGGGGCACACAAGGGGUGGAGCCUGCGGCUCAAUUGGAGUCAACGCCGGGAACCUCCACCGGGAGCGACAGCAGGAUGACGGCCAGGCUAACGACCUUGCCUGACACGCUGAGGGGAGGUGCACGGCCGUCGCCAGCUCGUGCUGUGAAGUGUCCUGUUAAGUCAGGCAAGCGAGCGAGACCCCCGCUCUUAGUUGCUAUCCCAUAGGAG